This 76-nucleotide transfer RNA is filed under the name Candidatus Margulisiibacteriota bacterium. RNAcentral's name for it is "tRNA-His". It matches the Rfam family "tRNA". From Rfam's summary of the family: Transfer RNA (tRNA) molecules are approximately 80 nucleotides in length. Lineage: Bacteria; Bacillati; Candidatus Margulisiibacteriota. The record is from RNAcentral.
GUGGGCGUAGCUCAGUUGGUAGAGCGUCAGAUUGUGGCUCUGAAUGCCGCCGGUUCAAUCCCGGUCGCUCACCCCA